AAAUUGAAGAGUUUGAUCAUGGCUCAGAUUGAACGCUGGCGGCAGGCCUAACACAUGCAAGUCGAACGGUAACAGGAAGCAGCUUGCUGCUUUGCUGACGAGUGGCGGACGGGUGAGUAAUGUCUGGGAAACUGCCUGAUGGUGGAG
Molecule: ribosomal RNA, 147 nt
Filed under: Salmonella enterica
Lineage: Bacteria; Pseudomonadati; Pseudomonadota; Gammaproteobacteria; Enterobacterales; Enterobacteriaceae
Description: partial 16S ribosomal RNA
Rfam family: Bacterial small subunit ribosomal RNA
Source: RNAcentral